RNAcentral lists this ribosomal RNA (469 nucleotides) under uncultured bacterium. Its description in RNAcentral is "partial 16S ribosomal RNA". It matches the Rfam family "Bacterial small subunit ribosomal RNA", at positions 28 to 507 of the family's 1533-position model. The record is from RNAcentral.
GACGAACGCUGGCGGCGUGCUUAACACAUGCAAGUCGAACGGAAAGGCCCUGCUUGCAGGGUGCUCGAGUGGCGAACGGGUGAGUAGCACGUGGGUGAUCUGCCCCUUACUUUGGGAUAAGCCUGGGAAACUGGGUCUAAUACUGGAUAGGACCAUGCUGUAGGUGGUGUGGUGGAAAGAUUAGUUUCGGUAAGGGAUGAGCUCGCGGCCUAUCAGCUUGUUGGUGGGGUAAUGGCCUACCAAGGCGUCGACGGGUAGCCGGCCUGAGAGGGUGGACGGCCACAUUGGGACUGAGAUACGGCCCAGACUCCUACGGGAGGCAGCAGUGGGGAAUAUUGCACAAUGGGCGCAAGCCUGAUGCAGCGACGCCGCGUGGGGGAUGACGGCCUUCGGGUUGUAAACUCCUUUCAGCCAUGACGAAGCCCUUGUGGUGACGGUAGUGGGAGAAGAAGCACCGGCUAACUACGUG